GUGGAUUAGAUACCCGGGUAGUCCACGCCCUAAACGAUGUCAACUAGUUGUCGGGUCUUAAUUGACUUGGUAACGCAGCUAACGCGUGAAGUUGACCGCCUGGGGAGUACGGUCGCAAGAUUAAAACUCAAAGGAAUUGACGGGGACCCGCACAAGCGGUGGAUGAUGUGGAUUAAUUCGAUGCAACGCGAAAAACCUUACCUACCCUUGACAUGGUCGGAAUCCUGGAGAGAUCUGGGAGUGCUCGAAAGAGAACCGGCGCACAGGUGCUGCACGGUCGUCGACAGCU
RNAcentral lists this ribosomal RNA (289 nucleotides) under uncultured bacterium. RNAcentral describes it as "partial 16S ribosomal RNA". It matches the Rfam family "Bacterial small subunit ribosomal RNA", at positions 773 to 1060 of the family's 1533-position model. The record is from RNAcentral.